Potamilus streckersoni is the source of this 75-nucleotide non-coding RNA. The record is from the annotation of a GenBank genome assembly. Lineage: Eukaryota; Metazoa; Mollusca; Bivalvia; Unionida; Unionidae.
UGGCUCCGGUGGCCUAGUAGUUAGAGAGUCCGCCUUGGAUGCUGGAGGACGUGGGUUCGAUCACCACCCAAUCAU